AUGGAGAAUGGUUCUUUGAGUACUAAUCUAUUUUUGAAGAGUUCGGCCAUAUUGACCUGGAAUCUCCGGUACUAUAUAGCACUUGGAACAGCAAGAGGCUUGGCUUAUCUGCAUGUGGAAUGCAGUGAAUGCAUUAUACACUGUGACAUGAAGCCAGACAAUGUACUUCUUGUUGCAGAAUUCUGCCCCAAGAUUGCGUACUUCGGCAUGGCCAAGCUUCUAGGUCGAGAUUUCAGCAGGGCUUUGACAACAAUGCGAGGGGCCAUUGGAUAUCUUGCACCGGAGUGGAUAUCGGGGUUACCGAUCACACAUAAGACUGAUAUUUACAUCUAUGGCAUGAUGCUUCUUGAAAUCAUAUCUGGUCCAAGGAACUCAGGGAAAAUUAAGGAAGGGAAGUUUACAUACUUUCCCAUCUUUGCGGCAAUUAAGGUGAAUGAGGGAGAUGAUGUGUGUCUGUUGGAUAGUAGGUUGGAAGGUGAAGCAGAUGGAGAGCAGCUGAGAAGAGCUUGCAGAAUUGCAUGCUGGUGCAUUCAAGAUGCUGAGGAUUACAGGCCGAUGAUGGGACAAGUUGUUCACAUGCUAGAGAAUGUCAUGGAUGUCGAAAUCCCACCUAUUCCAAGGUCACUUGAACACUAUGUUGGCAUGGAGGAUUGCUCUGCGGAACCAGAUAACUUGUUCUAA
This 681-nucleotide ribosomal RNA is filed under the name Triticum aestivum (bread wheat). Its description in RNAcentral is "partial small subunit ribosomal RNA". Lineage: Eukaryota; Viridiplantae; Streptophyta; Magnoliopsida; Poales; Poaceae. The record is from RNAcentral.